CACAAGGCCCACUUCUGCUCUUGCAGGCUCACAGCUCACUGCAGAAUGGAUGAGCGAGACUGAACUGCUGACCUCAAGCAACUGGCAAGUGUUUUUUCAGACCUGUGAGAAUGCUGACCCUAGAAAAAAGAAGUACUGCACGCUAACUUUGGAUUAAUUAUUUCCUUAGGAUUCUGGAAAGGUAAAACUCCUAAUAGCUGUGCUGAAGGGCAGACUUACCACUCUGACUAGUGAAGACAGACUUGAUAACAAGCACUGAAUGCAAGAGGAACUUCAAGAAUGUGUUUCACACUGUGAAGUUGUGCUUCCAGAAAAUGUUGUUCCUUGUAUGAUAAUUUAUAAGGAUGUAAAAGUGAACUUUACAUUUAAAGCGAGUGAAAAAUGAAACUGAAGAAGGAGGUUUUGUGCUGACCUUAGACCAGACAUCUGCCAGAGGAGUCACCUAGUACAAGCUCCAACCCCAUGCACAUAGUUGAAAAUGCUUUGGAAAGAAAAGUGAUAAAUUGGUUCUGGGCCACUGGAUGAUUUUCCUCAUUGUGAUGAUCUGCUAGGUGUACUUUGCAUCAGCAGUGUUGUACAGGAUGUUGGGAUCUGGUCAGCCUCUUCAAGAGAGGAAAAACUUGUAUACCUGAAAAAAGCUUGUAAGAUUUUUCAACUAAUGGAGAAAUGUAAGCAAUUUCAACUAAUGGAGAAAUUUUAGGAUUUAGAUCUUCACCGGAAGUUCUUCUUUAUGCAUUGAUAUUUAGCAAAUAUGUGACAAAUAUUUGAGUUAAUACCCUGAUUUAUGUAAUUUCUACAGAAAUUAAUUUGAAAUAUCAGUUGCAAGAUUACUUACCCACCUGCUGUCUUACUGCUUGAGAAUAAUGUUUAUGUUCCCUUUGGUCAGAUUCUUCCCUCUCUGGAGAGAACAUGUUGUAACUUCCAGGCUGAUUAUCAAUUAAACUGGAACUAAAGAGCAUUUCUUGCAUUUAUAAUUGGCCUUCUUGUGUUGAUUUUUGCAUAUUUUCACCCCAACUUUAAUCCCUAGGCUACUUUUGGUACUUGGCAGCAGUGCCUUAUCACCUAUGCACUGCAUAUUCAGUCCCAUUCCAUGUGGAAUAAAUUCUCAUGUUUCCUUCA
Long non-coding RNA from Zonotrichia albicollis (white-throated sparrow), 1119 nucleotides. The record is from Ensembl. Lineage: Eukaryota; Metazoa; Chordata; Aves; Passeriformes; Passerellidae.